RNAcentral lists this microRNA precursor (98 nucleotides) under Anopheles arabiensis. RNAcentral describes it as "microRNA mir-929". The stretch from base 10 to 82 matches the Rfam family "mir-929 microRNA precursor family". RNAcentral also lists the same sequence under 3 other names. Lineage: Eukaryota; Metazoa; Arthropoda; Insecta; Diptera; Culicidae. The record is from RNAcentral.
GCCUACGCGUGGGAUUAAAUUGACUCUAGUAGGGAGUCCUUUUAUACGAGCGACUCCCUAACGGAGUCAGAUUGAUUCCGGUAGUGCACCUGUCGACA